Molecule: ribosomal RNA, 248 nt
Filed under: uncultured Gemmatimonas sp.
Lineage: Bacteria; Pseudomonadati; Gemmatimonadota; Gemmatimonadia; Gemmatimonadales; Gemmatimonadaceae
Description: partial 16S ribosomal RNA
Rfam family: Bacterial small subunit ribosomal RNA
Source: RNAcentral
CACGCCGUAAACGAUGGGUACUAGGUGCUUGGGGGAGCGACCCCCCGAGUGCCGGCGCUAACGCAUUAAGUACCCCGCCUGGGGAGUACGACCGCAAGGUUGAAACUCAAAGGAAUUGACGGGGGCCCGCACAAGCGGUGGAGCAUGUGGUUUAAUUCGACGCAACGCGAAGAACCUUACCCAGGCUUGACAUGUAUGAGAAAGCCUCUGGAAACAGGGGCCCCUCUUCGGAGCUCAUGCACAGGUGC